GGAGGUUACUGCUAUCGGUGUUCGCCUAACCCAUGCAAGUCAUAUGUUCUUCGUGAACAUGGCGUACUGCUCAGUAACACGUGAAUAACCUGCCCUUGGGACCGGCAUAACCCCGGGAAACUGGGGAUAAUUCCGGAUACCGCAUAUAUGCUGGAAUGCUUUAUGCGUGAAAUGGAUUCGUCUGCCCAAGGAUGGGUCUGCGGCCUAUCAGGUAGUAGUGGGUGUAAUGUACCUACUACCCUACAACGGGUACGGGUUGUGAAAGCAAGAGCCCGGAAAUGGAUUCUGAAACAUGAAUCCAGGCCCUACGGGGCGCACCAC
RNAcentral lists this ribosomal RNA (321 nucleotides) under uncultured archaeon. Its description in RNAcentral is "bacterial SSU rRNA". It matches the Rfam family "Archaeal small subunit ribosomal RNA", at positions 19 to 338 of the family's 1478-position model. The record is from RNAcentral.